UGAACGCUGGCGGCGUGCCUAAUACAUGCAAGUCGAACGAGUUCUGAUUAUUGAAAGGUGCUUGCAUCUUGAUUUAAUUUUGAACGAGUGGCGGACGGGUGAGUAACACGUGGGUAACCUGCCCUUAAGUGGGGGAUAACAUUUGGAAACAGAUGCUAAUACCGCAUAAAUCCAAGAACCGCAUGGUUCUUGGCUGAAAGAUGGCGUAAGCUAUCGCUUUUGGAUGGACCCGCGGCGUAUUAGCUAGUUGGUGAGGUAACGGCUCACCAAGGCAAUGAUACGUAGCCGAACUGAGAGGUUGAUCGGCCACAUUGGGACUGAGACACGGCCCAAACUCCUACGGGAGGCAGCAGUAGGGAAUCUUCCACAAUGGACGCAAGUCUGAUGGAGCAACGCCGCGUGAGUGAAGAAGGCUUUCGGGUCGUAAAACUCUGUUGUUGGAGAAGAAUGGUCGGCAGAGUAACUGUUGUCGGCGUGACGGUAUCCAACCAGAAAGCCACGGCUAACUACGUGCCAGCAGCCGCGGUAAUACGUAGGUGGCAAGCGUUAUCCGGAUUUAUUGGGCGUAAAGCGAGCGCAGGCGGUUUUUUAAGUCUGAUGUGAAAGCCCUCGGCUUAACCGAGGAAGUGCAUCGGAAACUGGGAAACUUGAGUGCAGAAGAGGACAGUGGAACUCCAUGUGUAGCGGUGAAAUGCGUAGAUAUAUGGAAGAACACCAGUGGCGAAGGCGGCUGUCUGGUCUGUAACUGACGCUGGGGCUCGAAAGCAUGGGUAGCGAACAGGAUUAGAUACCCUGGUAGUCCAUGCCGUAAACGAUGAAUGCUAGGUGUUGGAGGGUUUCCGCCCUUCAGUGCCGCAGCUAACGCAUUAAGCAUUCCGCCUGGGGAGUACGACCGCAAGGUUGAAACUCAAAGGAAUUGACGGGGGCCCGCACAAGCGGUGGAGCAUGUGGUUUAAUUCGAAGCAACGCGAAGAACCUUACCAGGUCUUGACAUCUUUUGAUCACCUGAGAGAUCAGGUUUCCCCUUCGGGGGCAAAAUGACAGGUGGUGCAUGGUUGUCGUCAGCUCGUGUCGUGAGAUGUUGGGUUAAGUCCCGCAACGAGCGCAACCCUUAUGACUAGUUGCCAGCAUUUAGUUGGGCACUCUAGUAAGACUGCCGGUGACAAACCGGAGGAAGGUGGGGAUGACGUCAAAUCAUCAUGCCCCUUAUGACCUGGGCUACACACGUGCUACAAUGGAUGGUACAACGAGUUGCGAGACCGCGAGGUCAAGCUAAUCUCUUAAAGCCAUUCUCAGUUCGGACUGUAGGCUGCAACUCGCCUACACGAAGUCGGAAUCGCUAGUAAUCGCGGAUCAGCACGCCGCGGUGAAUACGUUCCCGGGCCUUGUACACACCGCCCGUCACACCAUGAGAGUUUGUAACACCCGAAGCCGGUGGCGUAACCCUUUUAGGGAGCGAGCCGUCUAAGGUGGGACAAAUGAUUAG
Molecule: ribosomal RNA, 1486 nt
Filed under: uncultured organism
Description: SSU rRNA
Rfam family: Bacterial small subunit ribosomal RNA
Source: RNAcentral